RNAcentral lists this ribosomal RNA (253 nucleotides) under uncultured bacterium. RNAcentral describes it as "partial 16S ribosomal RNA". It matches the Rfam family "Bacterial small subunit ribosomal RNA", at positions 524 to 776 of the family's 1533-position model. The record is from RNAcentral.
UACGUAGGGGGCGAGCGUUGUCCGGAAUUAUUGGGCGUAAAGGGCGCGCAGGCGGUCUUUUAAGUCUGAUGUGAAAUCUCGUAGCUUAACUACGAGCGGUCAUUGGAAACUGGAAGACUUGAGGACAGAAGAGGAGAGUGGAAUUCCACGUGUAGCGGUGAAAUGCGUAGAGAUGUGGAGGAACACCAGUGGCGAAGGCGACUCUCUGGUCUGUAGCUGACGCUGAGGCGCGAAAGCGUGGGGAGCGAACAGG